Long non-coding RNA from Hippocampus comes (tiger tail seahorse), 195 nucleotides. RefSeq lists it as uncharacterized. NCBI's taxonomy places the organism in Eukaryota, Metazoa, Chordata, Actinopteri, Syngnathiformes, Syngnathidae. The transcript is spliced from 2 exons. The record is from RefSeq and is a predicted model, not a curated record.
AUGGAUCAUAGAGAGCCAAUCUACCAAGAAGAAGAACAAGGAUCACAACAAGAAGGGUACCACAUCCGGUUCAGCGAGCAAGUGUUUCCGCGGACUCCAAGCCGGGCUCACACUCGAAAAGGCGACUUGGCUAAAGGUGCAGCCGACAGACUACGAGGACAUGCGGAAGGGAGCCCAAACUGCAUUUGAACACAU